GGGGAGAUGCGGAAGCUGAUGCUAAGCCUUGCGGGGUUCCGAUCAGCAUUUGAGGUAAUGAGUGCCUAUCGGGACGUCGUGACGGUUGUCACGGGCCCGAUGGGAGUUUCGGGUCGUGACAUUUGUCAACCCUAGGUAUAAAUAUCCUUACUUUCCAGCACCUUCUCCAUUCUUCCUCUCAUUUCUUCUCUCCAUUGCAGAUUUUUCAUCUUCCAUGGAGGCCAUCCUUGAAACCUCUAUAACUUUCUCAUAUUAACUCCAAAUUUCAUGUUUUUGUACACUUUUUCAUAGGAUUUUUCAUGCUCUUUUUCUUUUUCACCUUAAAAACCCUCAAAAAGAUUUUCCUCUACACUCUCUCUCACUAGCUGAACGUUUAUAAAGCGAGAAAUUUUUCAAAAUAGCUUGAAAACUCUUAAAGGAAUUUUUCCCCUUUUUAAUCCUCACUAAGGAAAUUCAACUACAAGUCCACCAAGGUGAGUAAUGAGUUAUGGUUGAUUUUUAAGUUGUUAAUGAUGGCUAAUAAUCAGAUUUAUGGGCUAUUUUAUUAUUGAUGGUUAUAUUAUGGUGAAAAUGAGAUUAUUUAUUACUAGUGUGAUUAGAAUAGUACAAAUAAAUGACUAGCUAAUGACUUGAAUGUUAGCCUUGUAAAUUUACAAGUAAAUUAAUACUUGGAAUGGGAAUUAGGGGCAGUUUCGAUCGAUCGAGACUAUUGGAGGGAGAAAUGAUUAAUAAUUAUGGUACUUCAUGGUUUAACUAGUGGUAUGGAUGACUAGUUUAAUAAAGGGCAUUGUGUUGGUGUGAGAUGUCACUAAGGGAAUUAAUUAAGUUUGGAAUUAUGAAUUUUAAGGAUGAAAUAGGUGCUGGAAAAUGGAAGUAAUAAAAGAAGUGUUAUGAAAUUUGUUGGAGUUAGUACUAGGUUGACUAGUCAAAUGGUAAUUGACAAACUAGUUAGGAAAAACUAGUAAAGUUGAUUUAGGAAAUAACCUUUGGAUUUAUAUUCAUGCAAAUUGGGUUGGUUGUGAUGCCAUUGUGUGUGAUAGGUUCCAACGAGACCCCACAUCUCCACUUGGAGCAUUAGUUGAAGUUGGACUUGAUAAAAAAAAAUAGGUAAGUGAACUUGCAUUUAAAAUGUUUUGAACAAAUGCAUAUGUGUUGAAUGAAGUACUUGAAUAUCUUUGGUUGACUCUUUUAAAGAAAAUUAUGCAUUGGAACAAGCCUUUCAC
Molecule: long non-coding RNA, 1223 nt
Filed under: Theobroma cacao (cacao)
Lineage: Eukaryota; Viridiplantae; Streptophyta; Magnoliopsida; Malvales; Malvaceae
Description: long non-coding RNA (TCAC_LNC003194)
Source: RNAcentral